RNAcentral lists this ribosomal RNA (492 nucleotides) under uncultured bacterium. RNAcentral's name for it is "partial 16S ribosomal RNA". It matches the Rfam family "Bacterial small subunit ribosomal RNA", at positions 29 to 507 of the family's 1533-position model. The record is from RNAcentral.
AGUGAACGCUGGCGGUAGGCCUAACACAUGCAAGUCGAGCGGCAGCACAGUAAGAGCUUGCUCUUACGGGUGGCGAGUGGCGUACGGGUGAGGAAUACAUCGGACUCUACUUUUUCGUGGGGGAUCACGUAGGUAAACUUACUCUAAUACCGCAUACGCCCUACGGGUGAAAGCAGUGGAUCUUCGGACCUUGCGCGAUUGAAUGCGCCGAUGUCGGAUUAGCUAGUUGGCGGGGUAAAGGCCCACCAAGGCGACGAUCCGUAGCUGGUCUGAGAGGAUGAUCAGCGACACUGGAACUGAGACACGGUCCAGACUACUAAGGGAGGCAGCAGUGGGGAAUAUGGGACAAUGGGCGGAAGCCUGAUCCAGCCAUACCGCGUGGGUGAAGAAGGCCUUCGGGUUGUAAAGCCCUUUUGUUGGGAAAGAAAAGCAGCAGGUUAAGACCACGCUGUUCUGACGGUACCGAAAGAAUAAGCACCGGCUAACUUCGUG